GCUAUGAGUUACCUAGAAAUGAGCGAGAAA
Molecule: non-coding RNA, 30 nt
Filed under: Homo sapiens (human)
Lineage: Eukaryota; Metazoa; Chordata; Mammalia; Primates; Hominidae
Source: RNAcentral